AUGCAUCUCUGGAACCAUAAAUGAUGUUAAAAUAGGCAUUUAUAAAAUGACAAGGAGAAUUUCAUGAUAAAUUUGUUUGUUUUCUUACAAUCAUUGGCAUUGCAGCCAUUAGUAAGUCACAAGGAAAACUUCUCUAGCUAAAACGCAAAAUGAAAUAUCAAGUUUUGAAAUGUAUUAGGUCUGUUGCCUGCGUUUUGCUGAUCUCAUUUUUUCAAAGCGCGACUCCAUUUCUUCUAAGACUUUGGGUGUGUAUCGUACCACUAAUUUAACCUUUCCUUGUGCGGCUUUCAGCAGUUCUACAGCUUUUUCAUGAUGUUCUCCUUCAACACUCACUCCAUUAACAGAGAGGAGUUGAUCUCCACGUUUGAGGCCCCCAUGUCUAUCAGCAAUUCCACCUGGAAUUAUUCGGGAUAUAUAGAUUGGAGAGUUUUGUUCUUUGCCUCCCAUAAUAUUGAAUCCAAGGCCCUCUUCUGUUUUUGGUAGCUCAACAACUCGAGGAUGAGAAUGUCCUUCACUGGCAGCAAAUGCAGCAACAGUAGCCUUUGCAGUAGCGUUCGCUCUCACUUCAGGACUGCUACUGAUGUCCACAGUCUCAUAGACAUGUUCAUAUACCUCUCUCACAGCAUUGCAGAAUUCACUUUGAAGGACUCUUUGCAAAGCCUGAAGUUUCUGUGGUGGUACUUCUCCACUCCUUUGUAGUUUUUCCAAUAAUUCAAUUGCUCUACAAAU
Molecule: long non-coding RNA, 729 nt
Filed under: Homo sapiens (human)
Lineage: Eukaryota; Metazoa; Chordata; Mammalia; Primates; Hominidae
Description: LNC_000599
Source: RNAcentral